GUACUCCGCCUGAGUAGUACGUACGCAAGUAUGAAACUUAAAGGAAUUGACGGGAUCCCGCACAAGCGGUGGAUCAUGUUGUUUAAUUCGAAGAUACACGAAAAACCUUACCAGGUCUUGACAUAUUCUGCGAAGCUAUAGAAAUAUAGUAGAGGUUACCAGAAAUACAGGUGGUGCAUGGUUGUCGUCAGCUCGUGUCGUGAGAUGUUAGGUUAAGUUCUAAAACGAGCGCAACCCUUAUCGUUAGUUACCAGCAUGUUAUGAUGGGGACUUUAGCGAGACUGCCAAUGAAAAAUUGGAGGAAGGUGAGGAUUACGUCAAAUCAUCAUGCCCCUUAUGAUCUGGGCUACAAACGUGAUACAAUGGCUAUUACAAAGAGUAGCUGAAACGCGAGUUUUU
RNAcentral lists this ribosomal RNA (399 nucleotides) under Coconut lethal yellowing phytoplasma. Its description in RNAcentral is "bacterial SSU rRNA". It matches the Rfam family "Bacterial small subunit ribosomal RNA", at positions 864 to 1266 of the family's 1533-position model. Lineage: Bacteria; Bacillati; Mycoplasmatota; Mollicutes; Acholeplasmatales; Acholeplasmataceae. The record is from RNAcentral.